UGGCCACGCACGAGCCAAAGAAAUAAGGACACGUGGUAUAUCAUCAAGAGCCAACAAGAAGGCACCUGAAGUUGGAGAGACCUUAGGUGGGAACAGGUGCCUAGAGAUGGAGGGACCUUAGGCGGGAACGGUUGAAAAGUAGGGUAUAACUUACGCGAUCAUGAGUACAGCACUUGUUGGAGGAAAAUUCAAAAUUCCUUAACCAUUAUUAUUACUACUCAAAUUUCUUAAUUACUAUUACUAUUAUUUUAAUUUUUAUUUAUUAAUUCUUUUAUUCUCAUUUAUUAGUAUUCAUUGUUAUUUAUUUUAACUAAUGAGAUGGAUUAAUUAAGUGGAAACGGUUUCCACUAUUGGAAUCCGUUAAGGAUUCCGAUGUUCAACCCAUUCUCUUUUUAUAUAUUGAAUUAUUCCUCUACAUACUGUUCAUGAUAUAUGAAUAUUGUAGAGAAAAGUAAAAGAGAUGAAAUUUUAUUUUGUUUAAUAUUUUUAUCAUCGGGUGUUGAAAGAGUCUCCGUCAACCUCCUUCACGAUCGUGCUCGCAGGACCGGUCGUACCUUGGGGUGUUAUUUCCGGUUAAUCCCGCAUGUAAGGACGGGAAUGCGCCUUAGGGCAGUGUCUCGUACGCUUCCGGAUCAAUUAAGUAUUUAUUUGGAUUUAGCGGUUGGUUUAUUUAUUUUCAUAAUAAAAUUAGUUAGAUCUUUAAUCACAAUCAGAUUUCUGUGCGGUAUUUGUUCUAACAGCACUACCCCACGACUAAAACUAACAAAUAAUGUGGGUUGAUAAUAAAGUAAUAAUAAUCUCAUCUGCAAUAUUAUUCUUACAGAUUUGUUCCUACAAAAAACUAUUUUUUAUUUCUCUCUCUCCUUGCCUUCACUGCGGCACGUGCGGCGUACCUCAUUGUUACCGUGACCGAGUGCCUCGCCUUCGACGUCACCGCCAUUGUAGCUCCCAUCAUCAUCAUAGAUAAAAAGAAGAGGGUGAAAAGAUGACGGAACUUAAUAUUGAAAUACAAAUUAUAUAUAUGGGGUAAAAAGAUUAUUUUACCUUUUAACUAACAGUGGUUAGCUUUUUUAACUUAUAAUUAUCUAAAUUUUGAUAAUAAAAGAAUAUAUUUGCAGAUAGAAGGAUAUUUUGGAGGAAUAACUCUAAUAAUGUAAAUUUUGUAAGAAUAUAUUUGCUAUUUGAUAUUUUUGCAAGGA
This 1199-nucleotide long non-coding RNA is filed under the name Ananas comosus (pineapple). RNAcentral's name for it is "long non-coding RNA (ACOM_LNC012509)". The record is from RNAcentral. Lineage: Eukaryota; Viridiplantae; Streptophyta; Magnoliopsida; Poales; Bromeliaceae.